UGUACUUUGACUUGUGCUGGAUAAAUUUUCCUUUUUAAUUAAUUUCCUUUGUUAAUUUAAUACAAAGUGUCUCAAAUAAGAUCGUUUUUAAAAAGGGAUUUAUGUAUUUUCAAUUCCUUCAUUAGGUGGGGCUUGGGAGCCUCAUGCACUAAGUCUCCCUUUAAUGUAUUUUCAAUUCCCUUCAAAGAAAGUGUCUGAAAUUCAACUUAUACCUGAACAAAAAGUUCCAAUGGUUGAUGCUCCUCCAUGAGUGAGCAGUCUUAGCCACCACAGUCACAACGUCCACCAUGCCUCCAUGAGUGAGCAGUCUUAGCCACCACAGUUAAUUUAACUAUCUGCAUGAGUUUCAAAAAUCAUAAGAAGCAGAACAUUAAUGAUUCAACACCAUAAAGGGACCUCCUAAGCUGGUAAGAAUCAGCAUGAAAAGCUUUGUUAUAUAAAGAUUUGGAUUCCUCAUAAUUCUCCAUCCACAACAAAAAACUACUUCUGAAUUCAGUUAACACACCAACCCCACAUCCAAAGCUUCAGUUCAAUAUGGCAACCUUGUCAAGUUUUGCUCCUUUGGACAAGUGACAGGGGACAAUGGCACCAUAGAUGGUCAAGGAGCAUUUUGGAGGCAGCAAUUUUACAACAAAAGGUUGAACUAUACUCGACCCUACCUGAUUGAAUUAAUGUUCUCAGACAAGAUUCAAAUCUCCAAUCUAACGCUCCUAAACUCUCCAUCGUGGAAUGUUCAUCCUGUUUAUAGCAGGUUAUUCAACAUUUAACAUCGUUGCUUUCGUAAGCACCGAUGUAGAAAUAUGUAAUUUUUACAUCGGUGCUUCCACCGACACCGAUGUUAAAACACGCAUUUCUACAUUGGUGGUCAAUAUAGCACUGAUGUUAAAACACACAUUUCUACAUCGGUGGUCAACAUAGCCCUGAUGUAAAAAAUUCAACCUUCAACAACGGGCAUGCGUCAGCAACAUUGUCAAUAGCACAUUGUUUAAGUUGUUGAUGAUAUCAGCAACAUAGUCAAUAAAUGUUUUUCAAAGACGGUGGUUUGGUUAGCACCGAUGUAGAAAACAAUGUGUUUUCUACAUCUUUCGAUAUAGGACCGAUGUCAAAACUUUUGGUAUUCAACGACGUCAUAUUCUAUAUCGGUUAACCACCAAUGUAGAAUGUCGUUUUCGACCGAUGUAAAAACCGUGUUUUGUAGUAGUGGCUCCAGAACCUCGAGACCUUAGACAUACGGAACACAAUGGUCACGAAAAUGCCAAAGGAGAUUUGCAAGCAUAGAAAGCUACGACAUCUGUUGGGUGAUGAAAUGACAUUGUUUCAAUUGAAAAAUAGUCUAAGAGGCAUGACAUCCCUACAGACAUUGCAUCAAGUAAGUUUAGUUAUUUUGGAUGAAUAUGGAGAAAAGAUAAAUAAGGAUGGUGAUGUAAUAAAGUUAAUCAGAGAACUGAGAAAGCUGAAGCAGUUAAGGAACUUAGGCGUGAUGGAUGUGAAGGAAGAACAGGGAAGCACUCUAUGUUCCUCAAUAAAUGAGAUUCAAAACUUGGAGAAACUAAAUAUUGUAUCAACAUAGGAUGGAGUCCUUGAUUUGCCUUUUAUUUCAUCCUUGCACAUGCUUCAUAAGCUUAGGCUAUCUGGGAAGUUAAAUAAAUUUCCAGAGUGGGUUUCACAUCUCAAAAAUCUUGUGAAAUUGUUUUUGAUACACUCCAGGUUGAUGAUCCAUUGAAAUCACUACAAAAUAUGUCACAGUUGUUGUUCCUUGCGAUUGGCUCCAUGUCUUAUGAAGGUAAAAAUUUGUAUUUUCAAGAUGGAGGCAUUCAACAACUAAAGGAACUGCGUCUCAAAUAUUUAUAUAAUUUGGAUUCCAUCGUUAUCUAUAAAGGAGCAUUGCAUUCUUUGAGAAAACUCCAAUUUAGGGAAAUACCCCAACUUAAUACAGUACCUCUUGGCAUCCAACACUUGAAAAAGCUUGAAGUUUAAGAUAUACAUCAUAUGUCGACUGAAUUCAACAACUGCAUUUCUCCCAAUGAAGGUCUAAAGAACCCAAUCAUCCAGCAUGUGCCCCUGGUAAGAAUUACUACCAGCCUCGAAGAAGGAGAAAAAACUCACGUUAUUCAUUCAUCAUUCAAGGAAUUAGAAUUCAUAAGAAGGAAUUGGGCUUUCAGUCUCUGAACUUUAGAUUCUCCAUGUUGCACUUUCAACAAUGGCAUUAAAUCAUUUUGUUUCAAAAGUGUCUCUUUGGUCCCCAGAUGAAAAGGAUAUGUAAAGUUCUUUGGUCCCCAGAUGAAAAGGAUAUGUGAAGUUCUCUUUCUUGGACUAAGUCAUUUGAGUUUAUGACCGUUUGUGAUGUAUAAUACUGUAUGAAACAUACUAUAACAGUGUGUCUUUCAAGGAUUGUAAGAUCUUAUUUUCUAUUUGACUUAUGCCU
Molecule: long non-coding RNA, 2425 nt
Organism: Glycine soja
Lineage: Eukaryota; Viridiplantae; Streptophyta; Magnoliopsida; Fabales; Fabaceae
Exons: 4
Source: RefSeq, a predicted model, not a curated record